Molecule: long non-coding RNA, 1668 nt
Organism: Homo sapiens (human)
Lineage: Eukaryota; Metazoa; Chordata; Mammalia; Primates; Hominidae
Source: Ensembl
CUCCCCGGAGUCCCACGCCCCCACCCCGGCCACGGAGAUCACCACGUCAGGAGAUAUGUAUGCGUGUGCAUGUGUGUGCGCGCGUGUUCACGCGCGUGUGCGAGGCUAACCUGGGCUUGUUCAUAUGGUGGUGGAAGAUUUCCCAGCAGCAAGAGUGUUGGCUCCAGUAUACAGACCUUGUCAAGUCUCUGCCUGCAUCAUUUGCAUCUUUGACCAAACCAGACUCGUUUAUUGUGAAAUAGAGAGUGUGAGAUACACUGGAUGCAGAGAAGGUCAAAACUGAAUUGGAAGAUUUUAUCCAGUUCUGGCUUCUACAAGUGAGGGGGAGUAAAGACAACCCGUGGAAGGUGUGGCCUCUUUGAGAGUUCCCUUUGAUCAUCGUUGAACAAGAAAAUAUUUGGGUCUGGUUUACCAAAGGACCUACAAGAUUUUCUGGCACCACCAUUCCCUGGAGGGGUCAGCCAGCUACAUGUUGGCAGGAUGAUGGCACUGGACUAUUUCCAUCGUGGAAGGGGCAGCAUUUUGUCCUCACUGGAACAGACACUUGGUUAGAAUAUGAAUAUGCUUUCACUGUACAUAUUUGUUCUGCUAAAACCACCAACUGUAUAUGCCUUAUUCACUGUUAUGAUAUUCCACGUAGCAUUACUUCUGACCAAGGAACUCAUCUCACAGCUAAUGAAGUGUGGAUAAGGAAGGGACUUUUGAAGAUUUUGUUAUGUUCCCAAGUGGGGGACAUCAUCUUAUAGGGCUGGUGUAGUGUCCUAUGGAUGUAGUACAUAUCCCAAAUCAGCAACCAAAGUAUAGUGCUGUUUCUCCCAUAACAUGAUCAAGGAAUGGGAAUGAGAUCAGCUGCUCUUAGUUUACCCUUUGUGAUCCACUAACAGUAUUUUUGCUUCUAGUCCUGGUGACUUUGGGCUCUGCUGCUUUAGGGCAUUUUACUUUUCCAGAAGAAUAAUGCUUCUGCCAGGAAACACAGUAACACUCCUGUUAAAUUGGAAGUCGAGACUGCUCCCUGAGAACUGUGAUGCCAGUAAAUCAGCAUGCAAAUAAGUGGCUACUGGAUUGGCUGAAGUGUUUGAUGCUGACUAUCAAGGGGGGAAACUGGGUUUCCAGCAUAGAGUGGGCACGGGAGUAGGUGCUUUCUGGAAUACCCUGGUCACCUUGGGUACUGCUUUUUAUUCCCUUAUCCUGUGGCAAAAGUUAAUAUAAAACCAUGGUAGCCCAAUAAAGACAGGACUUCUCAUGGCUGACACUUUAGGAAUGGAGUUUUAAUCACUCCACCAGGCAUGGGAUCACAGCAAGGUGAGGUGCUUGCUGAGGGCAAGGGAAAUAUGAAGUGGGCAGUGCAAGAAGGAAGUCAUCAAUACAAGCUAUGACCAUAUGGCCAAUAGCAGAAAUGAGGACUUAAUAUUUAUGAGUAUUUCUUUCUUAAUUUUAUUUACAGGCAUGCUUCACUUAACGAGAGGGAUAUAGUCUAAGAAUUGUAUCAUUAGGCAAUUUUGUCAUCAUACUUACAUCUUGGAGUGUACUUACACAAACCUAGAUGGUAUAGCCUACUACACAUCUAGGCUGUAUGGCAGAACCCAUUUCUCCUAGGCUGUAAACCUGCACAGCAUGUUACCAUACUGAGUACUGUAGGCAAUUGAAGCACAAUGGUGAGGAUUUGUG